Molecule: ribosomal RNA, 253 nt
Filed under: uncultured bacterium
Lineage: Bacteria
Description: partial 16S ribosomal RNA
Rfam family: Bacterial small subunit ribosomal RNA
Source: RNAcentral
AACGUAGGAGGCGAGCGUUAUCCGGAGUUACUGGGCGUAAAGAGCGUGUAGGCGGGUACGCAAGUUUGGCGUGAAAGCUCCCGGCUAAACUGGGAGAGUGCGCUGAAGACUGCGUGUCUAGAGGCGAGUAGAGGGACGUGGAAUUCCGGGUGUAGUGGUGAAAUGCGUAGAUAUCAGGAGGAACACCGGUGGUGUAGACGGCUUUCUGGACCGUAACUGACGCUGAGACACGAAAGCGUGGGUAGCAAACAGG